GUGUCUUGUUUUGACGAGAAACCGCAACGGAGUUAGAAGCUGCCUCCUCGACCUAUUUUAAAACACAUACAUUUACUGAGACGCAGUGAUGGACUAGAAUAAAGUCUAUGGUUGGUAGUGGGAUCUUCCUUUCUUCAUCACAUGAGGGACGGGGUAGCCUGCCUUACUGCCCUCUUCACAGAUACCUGCCUCCUCCUUGGAGGGAAACAAACCUUGGUCAUAGGAAAUCCGCCUCUCCUGAUUUGAGGAAAAUGUUUCGCCCUGGAAGAGAAAACCAUCAGAAUGAACCAAGAUAAUCUAAUGUGACAACUUACCCGACGUAGUGUGACAAUUUACCCGCUGAUGGGUCUACAACUCCGUACUGAAAUAAGAUAUGAAGAUGAAAUGAAUACAA
RNAcentral lists this long non-coding RNA (394 nucleotides) under Salmo salar (Atlantic salmon). RNAcentral describes it as "lncRNA (ENSSSAG00000116483.1)". Lineage: Eukaryota; Metazoa; Chordata; Actinopteri; Salmoniformes; Salmonidae. The record is from RNAcentral.